AUAUCAAUAAGCGGAGGAAAAGAAACUAACAAGGAUUCCCCUAGUAACUGCGAGUGAAGCGGGAAAAGCUCAAAUUUAAAAUCUGUCAGUCUUUGGCUGUCCGAGUUGUAAUCUAGAGAAGCGUUAUCCGCGCUGGACCGUGUACAAGUCUCCUGGAAUGGAGCGUCAUAGAGGGUGAGAAUCCCGUCUUUGACACGGACUGCCAGGGCUUUGUGAUGCGCUCUCAAAGAGUCGAGUUGUUUGGGAAUGCAGCUCAAAAUGGGUGGUAAAUUCCAUCUAAAGCUAAAUAUUGGCGAGAGACCGAUAGCGAACAAGUACCGUGAGGGAAAGAUGAAAAGAACUUUGGAAAGAGAGUUAAACAGUACGUGAAAUUGCUGAAAGGGAAACGCUUGAAGUCAGUCGCGUUGUCCAGGGAUCAACCUUGCUUUUGCUUGGUGUACUUUCUGGUUGACGGGUCAGCAUCAAUUUUGACUAUUGGAAAAAGACUAAGGGAAUGUGGCAUCUUUGGAUGUGUUAUAGCCCUUGGUUGCAUACAAUGGUUGGGRUUGAGGAACUCAGCACGCCGCAAGGCCGGGUUUUUAACCACGUACGUGCUUAGGAUGCUGGCAUAAUGGCUUUAAUCGACCCGUCUUGAAACACGGACCAAGGAGUCUAACAUGCCUGCGAGUGUUUGGGUGGAAAACCCGGGCGCGUAAUGAAAGUGAAAGUUGAGAUCCUUGUCAUGGGGAGCAUCGACGCCCGGACCAGACCUUUUGUGACGGUUCCGCGGUAGAGCAUGUAUGUUGGGACCCGAAAGAUGGUGAACUAUGCCUGAAUAGGGUGAAGCCAGAGGAAACUCUGGUGGAGGCUCGUAGCGAUUCUGACGUGCAAAUCGAUCGUCAAAUUUGGGUAUAGGGGCGAAAGACUAAUCGAACCAUCUAGUAGCUGGUUCCUG
RNAcentral lists this ribosomal RNA (934 nucleotides) under Cortinarius bellus. Its description in RNAcentral is "eukaryotic LSU rRNA". It matches the Rfam family "Eukaryotic large subunit ribosomal RNA", at positions 40 to 960 of the family's 3401-position model. The record is from RNAcentral. Lineage: Eukaryota; Fungi; Basidiomycota; Agaricomycetes; Agaricales; Cortinariaceae.